AAACAGUGCAAAUAAGACCUUACUAUCUUUUAGCUCUUCCUCAGCACCAGAGGAAGCUUUUCAUAAGAUGUAAAUUGUGUGGUUUGAAGCUUUGUAAAGUUGAAGGAAAACAAUUUUUUAUAGCCAGUGUUGAUGACAGAAUUCUUGAAGACCACAGUGUCAGACAAGUCAGUACAAGUCAGUACAAUAAUGCUGGCUGCUCAUAAAAAUCUUGACUGAUUUUAUACGUAGUAGCAGUGGUGGUGCAAUUGUGAGAAUCAAACUGUAUCUGGUGCCCUUACUACAACAAACACUGCAUUCAGAAGCAGGCUUUAAGAGAUCAAAAGCAACUUUUUAGGACAUAGAAAUAGUAAGGUGUCAACCAUUAGUGAUCAGUGCCACAUCUGAUUUGUCCAGUCUCUCCUGCCUUUACAUUGAAAGCUGGCACUUUAAGCUUUUCACAGGUGACUAUUUUUGAAGAUGGUUUGGCUCAUGUUUUCACUUGAGAAAUCUGUGAUGCAAUUGCCUACUCUGGUACAGGCAUAGGCAUGUUUCACAUGUGUACAUUUUUACUUCCACUCACUUUGUUUCUAACAGCAAUACUUUAUCAGCAGAAUCAUCACUAUUGAUGUUUCACAACCUAGGCUGGCCAGACUGGUGCACCUCUGAGACUGUAGUCAAGGAGGACAGCCUUUUUCUAUAGAUGAAAUAGACAGUAUGGAGUAUCCCAUUCUUCUGGGAAAAGCUUAAGAUACACAAUUGUUAUUGUAACACUUAAUGUAUAACAUAGUCCUUCUCUUACUAUAAAGUGCUACUCUAAAAUUC
Molecule: long non-coding RNA, 804 nt
Organism: Melozone crissalis (California towhee)
Lineage: Eukaryota; Metazoa; Chordata; Aves; Passeriformes; Passerellidae
Exons: 2
Source: RefSeq, a predicted model, not a curated record